ACUAUAUAAAAUUAGUUUCUUGGAUGAAAAACCUCUUUCAAGAUGUCUUAACCAUACUCGGGGCAGGAACUAUUUUUCCUGUGCUUCUUAGAUACAAGUAAACAUUAUGCGUAUUAUGAAAAGAAGGAAACUGCUUUACUUUCUCUUACUACUACACUGCUUAAAUGCCAAAGUAGAUGAUACUUAAACAAUUAAUAGAAACAACAAAUAUCUGUUUUCUUACAGUUUUAAGUUUCCCUCCUACGCCCACAUCAGAUAUCUUGCGAUUUUCUAUUGCCAUUUUAUUGU
This is a non-coding RNA of Drosophila virilis, 288 nucleotides long. NCBI's taxonomy places the organism in Eukaryota, Metazoa, Arthropoda, Insecta, Diptera, Drosophilidae. The record is from RefSeq and is a predicted model, not a curated record.